AGAGUUUGAUCCUGGCUCAGAUUGAACGCUGGCGGCAUGCCUUACACAUGCAAGUCGAACGGCAGCACGGACUUCGGUCUGGUGGCGAGUGGCGAACGGGUGAGUAAUAUAUCGGAACAUACCCUAGAGUGGGGGAUAACGUAGCGAAAGUUACGCUAAUACCGCAUACGAACUAAGGUUGAAAGUGGGGGAUCGCAAGACCUCAUGCUCAUGGAGUGGCCGAUAUCUGAUUAGCUAGUUGGUGAGGUAAAGGCUCACCAAGGCGACGAUCAGUAGCUGGUUUGAGAGAACGACCAGCCACACUGGAACUGAGACACGGUCCAGACUCCUACGGGAGGCAGCAGUGGGGAAUUUUGGACAAUGGGCGCAAGCCUGAUCCAGCAAUGCCGCGUGAGUGAAGAAGGCCUUCGGGUUGUAAAGCUCUUUUGUCAGGGAAGAAACGGUUGUGGCUAAUAUCCAUGGCUAAUGACGGUACCUGAAGAAUAAGCACCGGCUAACUACGUGCCAGCAGCCGCGGUAAUACGUAGGGUGCAAGCGUUAAUCGGAAUUACUGGGCGUAAAGCGUGCGCAGGCGGUUAUAUAAGUCAGAUGUGAAAUCCCCGGGCUCAACCUGGGAACUGCAUUUGAGACUGUAUGGCUAGAGUGUGUCAGAGGGGGGUAGAAUUCCACGUGUAGCAGUGAAAUGCGUAGAUAUGUGGAGGAAUACCGAUGGCGAAGGCAGCCCCCUGGGAUAACACUGACGCUCAUGCACGAAAGCGUGGGGAGCAAACAGGAUUAGAUACCCUGGUAGUCCACGCCCU
This 800-nucleotide ribosomal RNA is filed under the name uncultured bacterium. RNAcentral's name for it is "bacterial SSU rRNA". It matches the Rfam family "Bacterial small subunit ribosomal RNA", at positions 8 to 803 of the family's 1533-position model. The record is from RNAcentral.